ACAACAGUUCGGUCUGUCGCUGACGCCAAAAGGCGGAAGAGGAAAGUCCGGGCAACAAAGGGCUCCAUACUUCCUAACGGGAAGGUCUCUGCACACUGGUGCGGGGAACAGACAGUGCCACAGAAAAUAACCGUCCCGACGGUAUCCGUCGGGAUAAGGGUGAAAACGUGAGGUAAGAGCUCACGGCUUGUUAUGGUAACAUAACAUGCGGGUAAACCUUAUGGGUUGAAAGACCAAAUAAACCGGAGGUUGAGGGCUGCCCGCCCGAUUCCGGAGGGUAGGUCGUUAGAUUGCUCAGGCGACUGCGUGACCAGAUAAAUGGCAGACUAAAACAGAACCCGGCUUACGGAACUGUUGUUUUA
Molecule: RNase P RNA, 362 nt
Filed under: Bacteroidales bacterium
Lineage: Bacteria; Pseudomonadati; Bacteroidota; Bacteroidia; Bacteroidales
Description: RNase P RNA component class A
Rfam family: Bacterial RNase P class A
About the family: Ribonuclease P (RNase P) is a ubiquitous endoribonuclease, found in archaea, bacteria and eukarya as well as chloroplasts and mitochondria. Its best characterised activity is the generation of mature 5'-ends of tRNAs by cleaving the 5'-leader elements of precursor-tRNAs.
Source: RNAcentral